RNAcentral lists this long non-coding RNA (431 nucleotides) under Vulpes vulpes (red fox). RNAcentral's name for it is "lncRNA (ENSVVUG00000004870.1)". Lineage: Eukaryota; Metazoa; Chordata; Mammalia; Carnivora; Canidae. The record is from RNAcentral.
UUCAGAAGCGAGAAGGCAUUUAUUUCUGCACACUUCCAGGAGAUCCUGCUGAAUUCAUUUUAUUGGGGCUAUUUCUGAUUGCAGAUUUCUCACAUGGACACCUGCAGUUGCCGAACCAAUCUAUCAACCAAAGGUGAAGAAUUUACAGAUGAGGAAUCACCCCAGAGGUGGAACAGUGGUGCACAAAAGAACAUGAAUAGUUCCGAGGACAGAGAGAUGGAUGAAUGCUAGUUAAUCCAAGAUGACUACAAUGAAAAGAUUUUUAUUUGGAUCCUGAAGUGGAAAGAAGGAUAAAGAAGAAAGGAAGGAAACUAGCAUCUACUAAGUACAAUAUUAAGUUGGCUUCUUCAUAUACUUUAUCACAUCAAUCCUUACAAUAAUUCUGUGUGUUUGGUAAUAAAUUGAACCAUAUAAAUAUGGUUUUGUAAAUU